GAUAAUAUGUCUGAUUUAAGUGUUAAACUGUAAAUUUAAUUAAGAAGUUUUCUUCUGUUAUCA
This 63-nucleotide transfer RNA is filed under the name Aphaenomurus interpositus. Its description in RNAcentral is "tRNA-Tyr". Lineage: Eukaryota; Metazoa; Arthropoda; Collembola; Entomobryomorpha; Tomoceridae. The record is from RNAcentral.